This 497-nucleotide ribosomal RNA is filed under the name uncultured bacterium. RNAcentral describes it as "partial 16S ribosomal RNA". It matches the Rfam family "Bacterial small subunit ribosomal RNA", at positions 28 to 507 of the family's 1533-position model. The record is from RNAcentral.
GAUGAACGCUGGCGGCGUGCCUAAUACAUGCGAGUCGAGCGAACAGACGAGGAGCUUGCUCCUCUGACGUUAGCGGCGGACGGGUGAGUAACACGUGGAUAACCUACCUAUAAGACUGGGAUAACUUCGGGAAACCGGAGCUAAUACCGGAUAAUAUAUUGAACCGCAUGGUUCAAUAGUGAAAGACGGUUUUGCUGUCACUUAUAGAUGGAUCCGCGCCGCAUUAGCUAGUUGGUAAGGUAACGGCUUACCAAGGCAACGAUGCGUAGCCGACCUGAGAGGGUGAUCGGCCACACUGGAACUGAGACACGGUCCAGACUCCUACGGGAGGCAGCAGUAGGGAAUCUUCCGCAAUGGGCGAAAGCCUGACGGAGCAACGCCGCGUGAGUUAUGAAGGUCUUCGGAUCGUAAAACUCUGUUAUUAGGGAAGAACAAAUGUGUAAGUAACUAUGCACGUCUUGACGGUACCUAAUCAGAAAGCCACGGCUAACUACGUG